RNAcentral lists this ribosomal RNA (208 nucleotides) under uncultured delta proteobacterium. RNAcentral's name for it is "partial 16S ribosomal RNA". It matches the Rfam family "Bacterial small subunit ribosomal RNA", at positions 568 to 775 of the family's 1533-position model. The record is from RNAcentral. Lineage: Bacteria; Deltaproteobacteria.
CGCGUAGGCGGUUUGAUAAGUCAGAUGUGAAAGCCCACGGCUUAACCGUGGAAGUGCAUUUGAUACUGUUAGACUUGAGUACCAGAGGGGAAAGUGGAAUUCCCGGUGUAGAGGUGAAAUUCGUAGAUAUCGGGAGGAAUACCGGUGGCGAAGGCGACUUUCUGGCUGGAUACUGACGCUGAGGCGCGAAAGCGUGGGGAGCAAAACA